GUAGGUGGCAAGCGUUGUCCGGAAUUAUUGGGCGUAAAGCGCGCGCAGGUGGUUUAAUAAGUCUGAUGUGAAAGCCCACGGCUCAACCGUGGAGGGUCAUUGGAAACUGUUAAACUUGAGUGCAGGAGAGAAAAGUGGAAUUCCUAGUGUAGCGGUGAAAUGCGUAGAGAUUAGGAGGAACACCAGUGGCGAAGGCGGCUUUUUGGCCUGUAACUGACACUGAGGCGCGAAAGCGUGGGGAGCAAACAGGAUUAGAUACCCUGGUAGUCCACGCCGUAAACGAUGAGUGCUAAGUGUUGGUCUCAUAAGAGAUCAGUGCUGCAGCUAACGCAUUAAGCACUCCGCCUGGGGAGUACGACCGCCAAGGUUG
This 370-nucleotide ribosomal RNA is filed under the name uncultured Gemella sp. RNAcentral's name for it is "bacterial SSU rRNA". It matches the Rfam family "Bacterial small subunit ribosomal RNA", at positions 527 to 896 of the family's 1533-position model. Lineage: Bacteria; Bacillati; Bacillota; Bacilli; Caryophanales; Gemellaceae. The record is from RNAcentral.